This 492-nucleotide ribosomal RNA is filed under the name uncultured bacterium. RNAcentral describes it as "partial 16S ribosomal RNA". It matches the Rfam family "Bacterial small subunit ribosomal RNA", at positions 29 to 507 of the family's 1533-position model. The record is from RNAcentral.
AGUGAACGCUGGCGGUAGGCCUAACACAUGCAAGUCGAACGGCAGCACAGUAAGAGCUUGCUCUUACGGGUGGCGAGUGGCGGACGGGUGAGGAAUACAUCGGAAUCUACUUUUUCGUGGGGGAUAACGUAGGGAAACUUACGCUAAUACAGCAUACGACCUACGGGUGAAAGCAGGUGAUCUUCGUACCUUGCGCGAUUGAAUGAGCCGAUGUCGGAUUAGCUAGUUGGCGGGGUAAAGGCCCACCAAGGCGACGAUCCGUAGCUGGUCUGAGAGGAUGAUCAGCCACACUGGAACUGAGACACGGUCCAGACUCCUACGGGAGGCAGCAGUGGGGAAUAUUGGACAAUGGGCGCAAGCCUGAUCCAGCCAUACCGCGUGGGUGAAGAAGGCCUUCGGGUUGUAAAGCCCUUUUGUUGGGAAAGAAAAGCAGCAGGUUAAUACCCCGCUGUUCUGACGGUACCCAAAGAAUAAGCACCGGCUAACUUCGUG